This 405-nucleotide ribosomal RNA is filed under the name uncultured bacterium. RNAcentral's name for it is "partial 16S ribosomal RNA". It matches the Rfam family "Bacterial small subunit ribosomal RNA", at positions 28 to 526 of the family's 1533-position model. The record is from RNAcentral.
GACGAACGCUGGCGGCGUGCUUAACACAUGCAAGUCGAGCGGAGCGGCGAACGGGUGAGUAACGCGUGAGUAACUGCCCCCCUCUCUGGGAUAACAGUUGGAAACGGCUGCUAAUACCGGAUAGUGGGGGAUGACUCGGGUCCUAUCAGCUUGUUGGUGGGGUAGUGGCCUACCAAGGAGACUAAGGGUAGCCGGCCUGAGAGGGCGACCGGCCAAAAGGGGCUGGGAAACAGCCCAAACUACUACGGGAGGCAGCAGUGGGGAAUAUUGCACAAUGGGGGAAACCCUGAUGCAGAAACGCCGCGUGCGGGAGGACGGCCGUCGGGUUGUAAACCGCUUUCAGACAUGACGCGGUAGUGGCAGAAGAAGCACCGGCUAACUACGUGCCAGCCGCCGCGGUAAUAC